AAAUUGAAGAGUUUGAUCAUGGCUCAGAUUGAACGCUGGCGGCAGGCCUAACACAUGCAAGUCGAGCGGAAACGAGUUAUCAGAACCUUCGGGGGACGAUAACGGCGUCGAGCGGCGGACGGGUGAGUAAUGCCUAGGAAAUUGCCCUGAUGUGGGGGAUAACCAUUGGAAACGAUGGCUAAUACCGCAUGAUGCCUACGGGCCAAAGAGGGGGACCCUCGG
RNAcentral lists this ribosomal RNA (222 nucleotides) under Vibrio parahaemolyticus. RNAcentral's name for it is "partial 16S ribosomal RNA". It matches the Rfam family "Bacterial small subunit ribosomal RNA", at positions 1 to 220 of the family's 1533-position model. The record is from RNAcentral. Lineage: Bacteria; Pseudomonadati; Pseudomonadota; Gammaproteobacteria; Vibrionales; Vibrionaceae.